CAGCCGCCACGGGAAUACGGAGGAUCCAAGCGUUAUCCGGAUUUAUUGGGUUUAAAGGGUGCGUAGGUGGCUUAUUAAGUCAGGGGUGAAAGACGGUAGCUUAACUAUCGCAGUGCCUUUGAUACUGAUGAGCUUGAAUGAACUAGAGGUAGGCGGAAUGUGACAAGUAGCGGUGAAAUGCAUAGAUAUGUCACAGAACACCAAUUGCGAAGGCAGCUUACUAUGGUUUUAUUGACACUGAGGCACGAAAGCGUGGGGAUCAAACAGGAUUAGAUACCCCCGUAGUCCCUGUCUCUUAUAC
RNAcentral lists this ribosomal RNA (301 nucleotides) under uncultured bacterium. Its description in RNAcentral is "partial 16S ribosomal RNA". It matches the Rfam family "Bacterial small subunit ribosomal RNA", at positions 509 to 807 of the family's 1533-position model. The record is from RNAcentral.